GACGAACGCUGGCGGCGUGCUUAACACAUGCAAGUCGAACGGAAAGGCCCUGCUUUUGUGGGGUGCUCGAGUGGCGAACGGGUGAGUAACACGUGAGUAACCUGCCCUUGACUUUGGGAUAACUUCAGGAAACUGGGGCUAAUACCGGAUAGGAGCUCCUGCUGCAUGGUGGGGGUUGGAAAGUUUCGGCGGUUGGGGAUGGACUCGCGGCUUAUCAGCUUGUUGGUGGGGUAGUGGCUUACCAAGGCUUUGACGGGUAGCCGGCCUGAGAGGGUGACCGGCCACAAUGGGACUGAGAUACGGCCCAGACGCCUACGGGAGGCAGCAGUGGGGAAUAUUGCACAAUGGGCGGAAGCCUGAUGCAGCAACGCCGCGUGCGGGAUGACGGCCUUCGGGGUGUAAACCGCUUUCGCCUGUGACGAAGCGUGAGUGACGGUAAUGGGUAAAGAAGCACCGGCUAACUACGUG
Molecule: ribosomal RNA, 468 nt
Filed under: uncultured bacterium
Lineage: Bacteria
Description: partial 16S ribosomal RNA
Rfam family: Bacterial small subunit ribosomal RNA
Source: RNAcentral